ACUCCUACGGGAGGCAGCAGUGGGGAAUCUUGCGCAAUGCGCGAAAGCGUGACGCAGCAACGCCGCGUGGGGGAAGAAGGCCUUCGGGUUGUAAACCCCUUUCAGUUGGGACGAAGCUUCGGCGGUGAAUAGCCGCCUGGAGUGACGGUACCUUCAGAAGAAGCCCCGGCUAACUACGUGCCAGCAGCCGCGGUAAUACGUAGGGGGCAAGCGUUGUCCGGAAUCAUUGGGCGUAAAGAGCGUGUAGGCGGCUUGGUAAGUCCGCUGUGAAAGUCCAGGGCUCAACCCUGGAAAGCCGGUGGAAACUGUCAAGCUCGAGUCCGGAAGAGGCGAGUGGAAUUCCUGGUGUAGCGGUGAAAUGCGUAGAUAUCAGGAGGAACACCGGCGGUGUAGACGGCUUACUGGACCAUGACUGACGCUGAGGCACGAAAGCGUGGGGAGCAAACAGGAUUAGAUACCCUGGUAGUCCACGCCCUAAACGAUGCACACUUGGUGUGAGCGAUUCAUUUCGUUCGUGCCGGAGCUAACGCGUUAAGUGUGCCGCCUGGGGAGUACGGUCGCAAGGCUGAAACUCAAAUGAAUUGACGG
This 588-nucleotide ribosomal RNA is filed under the name uncultured Rubrobacteria bacterium. RNAcentral describes it as "bacterial SSU rRNA". It matches the Rfam family "Bacterial small subunit ribosomal RNA", at positions 335 to 916 of the family's 1533-position model. The record is from RNAcentral. Lineage: Bacteria; Bacillati; Actinomycetota; Rubrobacteria.